CCUACGGAGAGUACAAGAACUUGUAAUUAGUAGUAAUACGAAAGCAUACUCGUUGAAGUAGGAA
Molecule: non-coding RNA, 64 nt
Submitted as: unclassified sequences
Source: Rfam